GGGGAUGUGGCUCAAUGGUUAAGCACUCACCCAGCGUCACAAAGUCCUGGGUUCAAUCCCCAGCACCUCCC
RNAcentral lists this transfer RNA (71 nucleotides) under Ictidomys tridecemlineatus (thirteen-lined ground squirrel). RNAcentral's name for it is "Spermophilus tridecemlineatus (thirteen-lined ground squirrel) tRNA". It matches the Rfam family "tRNA". From Rfam's summary of the family: Transfer RNA (tRNA) molecules are approximately 80 nucleotides in length. Their secondary structure includes four short double-helical elements and three loops (D, anti-codon, and T loops). Further hydrogen bonds mediate the characteristic L-shaped molecular structure. tRNAs have two regions of fundamental functional importance: the anti-codon, which is responsible for specific mRNA codon recognition, and the 3' end, to which the tRNAs corresponding amino acid is attached (by aminoacyl-tRNA synthetases). tRNAs cope with the degeneracy of the genetic code in two manners: having more than one tRNA (with a specific anti-codon) for a particular amino acid; and 'wobble' base-pairing, i.e. permitting non-standard base-pairing at the 3rd anti-codon position. The record is from Rfam by way of RNAcentral. Lineage: Eukaryota; Metazoa; Chordata; Mammalia; Rodentia; Sciuridae.